AAUUCCGUCCCAGCUGAAGCAAAGACAGGUCACUGCUAGGGGGAAAAAAGAAUUCACCUUGCUUUCAAUCUGCGUUUGUUUAACUUCAGCUUUCAGACCACCUGAAGGGAGCAGCUCUAAAUGCUUCAGGGCGUGUGGUUGAAUAGACUCCUCAACUACCAAGAUGGAGAAGCUGAAGUGGAUCACACUGGUCAGCACUGACCAGAACCACCUCAAGCACCAGGGCAGCAGACACAAGCAGGAAAAUUGACUCUGAUCAUCCCUGGGGUCGUUUAACUAAAACACACAUUUCGGUCGAGCCAAGUGUUCACCAGCGCUUUUCAACUCCCCUGGUGUCAAAACAAUUAGCAGAUCACAGCAGCACCGACUCGCUGGUGCUCCAAUGGAAGCAUCUGGCCAGCACAUGGAGACGCAAUGCCAGCACAGACAAAUGUGACCAGAAGGAAUCUGACACAACCAACCCUUCCUUUGCAAUCAACGUGGGAUCCAAAACAAACCUUCGGCGCUCUCGGCAUCGCUGCCCAGGGAACCAGGCAUCCUGCAAAUAAACACUGAAUUGCAAAUCUGCGAGGGAGCUGAAUACAGCAUCACAGCCAUACUUCUUUCUGGUGGAUUGGCUCAGAAGAGAAGUUCUGUACAUGGGCUUUGGUAACAUCCAGCCAAGAGCUGAGUUUCGAGGGCCAGGAACUGCAGAUGGGCACACAGAUAGGUCAAACCUUGGUUUUUUUUUUCCCCCAGAAGGCACAUUUGGUGUCCAGUCUGCAAACACAGGUGACUUUAAGAGCAACUCCGGCCAUUAAUGCCCUUCUUGUUUUACCUUUUGUAAAAAGUUACAAGGAUUUUUAUCUAGGGUAAAACAUAUAGAUAGAUAGAUAGAUAGAUUUGCAGCUGGGAGCUGCUUUAUGCAGGCACAGCCUCUCUCUUGGCCACGGCCUUUUGGGCCAGGCAUGGUACAGUCUGUGGGUUGUAAACGUCAUUGAGCGAGUCAGCAGCUUUCCCCAUGAAACCAUCUCAAAGCCUUCCCCUGUUGCUGCACAUUUAAUUUCCCCAUUCAGGGGCCAGUGAGAGUAAAGGCAACCUGUGUAUGGAAACUUUUAAUUAAACUACAAAUAUAGAGUCGAGUCAUUUCUGGCGGAGGUGUAAAUAGUCUGUGGGAGAAGUGCUGAGUUGUGGGAGAGGAAGGCAGCAUUUGUAUCCAGCCCUGGAAUUUGUCCAUUCGUCACACUGUUGUCCCAGGAUCACAGAUCCAUUAAGGUUGGAAAAGACUUCCAAGAUCAUCCAGUUCAGUCGUCCACCUACCACCAAUAUUUCCCAGUGAUCCCAUGUUCCUUAGUACCACAUCUACACAUCUUGAACACAUCCAGAGACAGUGACUCCACCACCUCCCUGGGCAGCAGUGCCAGUGCCUGACCGCUCUUUCGAAGGCCAUCACCUCUUGUCCUGUCGCUGUUACUCAGGAGAAGAGGCUGACACCCACCUUGCCACAACCCCCUGUCAAGGAGUUGCAGAGGGCAAUAAGGUCUCCCCUGAGCCUCCUCCUCUCCACCCUCCACAGCUCCCAUCAGUCCUU
This is a long non-coding RNA of Gallus gallus (chicken), 1570 nucleotides long. NCBI's taxonomy places the organism in Eukaryota, Metazoa, Chordata, Aves, Galliformes, Phasianidae. The record is from Ensembl.